UACGAAGGGGGCUAGCGUUGCUCGGAAUUACUGGGCGUAAAGGGCGCGUAGGCGGAUAGUUUAGUCAGAGGUGAAAGCCCAGGGCUCAACCUUGGAACUGCCUUUGAUACUGGCUAUCUUGAGUUCGGGAGAGGUGAGUGGAAUGCCGAGUGUAGAGGUGAAAUUCGUAGAUAUUCGGCGGAACACCAGUGGCGAAGGCGACUCACUGGCCCGAUACUGACGCUGAGGCGCGAAAGCGUGGGGAGCAAACAGGAUUAGAUACCCUGGUAGUCCACGCUGUAAACGAUGAGUGCUAGUUGUCGGCAUGCAUGCAUGUCGGUGACGCAGCUAACGCAUUAAGCACUCCGCCUGGGGAGUACGGUCGCAAGAUUA
Molecule: ribosomal RNA, 372 nt
Filed under: uncultured prokaryote
Description: bacterial SSU rRNA
Rfam family: Bacterial small subunit ribosomal RNA
Source: RNAcentral